Long non-coding RNA from Notothenia coriiceps (black rockcod), 1261 nucleotides. RefSeq lists it as uncharacterized. The transcript has 3 exons. The record is from RefSeq and is a predicted model, not a curated record. NCBI's taxonomy places the organism in Eukaryota, Metazoa, Chordata, Actinopteri, Perciformes, Nototheniidae.
GUAAGCCGCUUUGGAUAAAAGCGUCAGCUAAAUGCAAUUUAAUGUAAUGUAUUCAAAUGUCAUUGGAAUGUCAUUUGAAAAGCUGACAGAUGAAGGUGUUGGGACACAAUGGCUCUUUGUCUCCUCAUCUUUGCCCUUCUUCCAUUCUGUCUCCACUUUGGGCUGAUGGGAGUUUCUGAGUCUGCCUUUCUUUCUUUCCUGUCUUUCUCUCUAUGAAUCCCCCCCCACCCCAACCCUAACCCUGGUAGGUCUAUAUUCAAGCCUUUUGUCUUCUCGGACUGUUCCACCUCAGUGCUGGGGGUGGUCUCCCCGCAGUUUGGCCCAGACGAUCCUGUCAGGAAGCAGCCCCGCUUUCAGAGCCAGGUGGACCGCAGACACGAGCUGUACAAGGCCCACCAGGUGGCGCUCAGCACCAUGGAGACCAACCCGGAUGAGGGUUUAGCUGUCUAUGAGAUUCUGAGGGACCUGGAGUCGCAGUGUCUGACCGAUAUCUCCGCCAUGCUGAACGGAGAGAUCCCAGGAGAAGAACUGGGGGACUUGUUUUUCGACUCUGUGGACACAGAGAUCAAGUUCUACCAGUGAGGAGCGCCCUCAGGUGGACGUCUCUAACACAGAGUUGUGGGAAAAGGCCUGGGACUGAUAACAACUCUGUGUUCCUCGACUGAUCGGCUUCUGCCUCACUCACACAGCACAUGUCCCUGACACCAUUCCAUCAUUAACAUGGUUUGAAUGUCUACACUGCACUGAUGAAGUGAAUGUAUCAUCUGUAUCACCCAGGGAGCAGUGAGUUCACCCCAUUAGUGAGUUAAAUGAUGUAGACUGCACAAGCGCCUAUGUAGAGCUGUGUGAAGGAAUGUGGCAUUUGUUUAACAUUUUGUUUUGGUUGCAAAUGAAUGGAUUGUCAUGUGAUGGCUUCCUGAAUAGAAAUAUGAAAUAAAGAAUGUGUCUGUCCUGUGUGUGGUGAGCUAUACUGUGUUUCAGCCUUCAACCUAGGGCUGGCUGUUAUGACAAAAAAUUCAUAUCACGGUAUUUUUCAUAACGGUAUCACGGUAUUUAUUUAUUGUAUGUAUUUACAUUGAUAUUUUUUUCCUAUCAUCGGCAGUCCCUGGAACAAAUGCGUUUUCAAGUGACGCUUGACUUGUCUUUACUUUAGACAUUUCACCAGCGUUGCUUGUUGAAGCAGAUCGUAUUUUCUUUCAUUCUUGGUACUCCAAUAAGUGCUUUCUGUUGAGGUGGUGGAAUAAAUUACUUGUGUUUACUC